GACGGAGGGGGCUAGCGUUGUUCGGAAUGACUGGGCGUAAAGGGCGCGUAGGUGGUUUUUCAAGUCAGGCGUGAAAGCCCCGGGCUUAACCUGGGAACUGCGCUUGAUACUGGAUGACUAGAGGACGAGAGAGGAAAGUGGAAUUCCGAGUGUAGAGGUGAAAUUCGUAGAUAUUCGGAGGAACAUCAGAGGCGAAGGCGGCUUUCUGGCUCGUAUCUGACGCUGAGGCGCGAAAGCGUGGGGAG
Molecule: ribosomal RNA, 245 nt
Filed under: uncultured Rhodospirillaceae bacterium
Lineage: Bacteria; Pseudomonadati; Pseudomonadota; Alphaproteobacteria; Rhodospirillales; Rhodospirillaceae
Description: partial 16S ribosomal RNA
Rfam family: Bacterial small subunit ribosomal RNA
Source: RNAcentral